CCCUUAGAUGUUCUGGGCCGCACGCGCGCUACACUGAUGCAUUCAACGAGUUUCUUCCUGGUCCGAGAGGAAUGGGUAACCUUUUGAAAGUGCAUCGUGAUAGGGAUAGACUAUUGCAAUUAUUGGUCUUCAACGAGGAAUUCCUAGUAGACGUAUUUCAUCAGACUGCAUCGAUUACGUCCCUGCCCUUUGUACACACCGCCCGUCGCUCCUACCGAUUGAAUGCUCAGGUGAGCCAUUCGGACUUUCAUCAUGCUGGUUUCCAGUUUUGAUGAAGGAAAGUCUUGCGAACCUUAUCAUUUAGAGGAAGGAGAAGUCGUAACA
This 324-nucleotide ribosomal RNA is filed under the name uncultured eukaryote. RNAcentral describes it as "partial 18S ribosomal RNA". It matches the Rfam family "Eukaryotic small subunit ribosomal RNA", at positions 1470 to 1796 of the family's 1831-position model. The record is from RNAcentral.